Long non-coding RNA from Esox lucius (northern pike), 1266 nucleotides. NCBI's taxonomy places the organism in Eukaryota, Metazoa, Chordata, Actinopteri, Esociformes, Esocidae. The record is from Ensembl.
UGUGUUUUUAAUGGUUUUCUUUGAGACUGCGGUUCCAGGUCCGGCCGUGUAGUUCUGGGCUGAUCCCUCACCCUCUUGAUCAUGAUCAUUGAUGCCCCACGAGCUCUCUGGUCUUGGCCAUUGUGGAGAGGUUGGAGUCUGAGUGUGUGGACAGGUGUCUUUUAGACAGGUAAGUUCAAACAUGUGCAAUUAAUACAGGUAAUGAGUGGAGAACAGAAGGCCUUCUUAAAAGGAAAAACUACCAGGUCUGUGAGAGCUGGAAUUCUUACUGUGUGAGGGGAAUUUUCUAUAAACUGCAUAUAAAAUCACACGUUUUAUGAAUAUUUAAAUAUGCAUGCAUAAUCAUGCGUUUUAGGGGAAUAUAUUAACAAGUUAUCCAAAAACCCUUAGUUCUUAGAUGAUUCAGCGCGCGUGCGCACACACAGACAGAAAGGCUGCAGAAAACAUAUGGCCUUGAGAUUGGGGCAAUUGGUCUUGACGCUCCAUAGGGGUUUAUCAGUAAUAGUGCAAUUCAGCAUAACGGCAUCCAGGAAGGGUUAUCCAAUCCCUGUACGUCCAAAGUGAGAGCUGCGUUCGGGUUCUCGGUAGUAAGUCGGAAUCGUUCCAGGUGGGGUUUGGCCUCUGCCAGGUCUGCACUUUGUCACCAAUCCGGUUUGUAACUUUUAUGGACAGGAUAUCAAGGCGUAGUCGGGGUGGGGAUGGGUUGCAGUUCGGUGGGCUGGGGAUCUCAUCGCUGCUUUUUGCGGAUGAUGUGGUCCUGAAGGCAUCAUUGGUCCGUUUCCUCCUUUGUGAUGCUUUGCCAGGCCUUUCCUGGAGCUGUCUUCAGGUGUUUGUUCUUGGAACUUUCUGCCUUAAGUUUUGUCUUCAGCAAGUGCAAUGCAUGGUGGAUCAGGUUGCGAUCAUUGAUUUUGCCAUUGCAGAAUAUUCAACUUGUUUGCCUUAAAAAAAACUCCUGGGUUGUUUUUGCAGAAUGUUUUGGAUCAUUGUCCAUCUGUAAAGUGAAGCACUGUCCAAUCAACUUUGCUGAAUUUGGCUGAAUCUGAGCAGACAAUAUAUCCCUAUACACUUCCGAAUUCAUCCAGCUGCUUCUGUCUUUUGUCACAUCAAAAACACUAUUUGAACCGUGCCAUUGGAAGCCAUGCAUGCCCAUGCCAUCACACUGCCUCCACCGAGUUUUACAGAUGUGGUAUGCUUUGAAUCAUGAACCGUUCCAAGCCUUCUCCAUACACUGAUGCCCUUAUGCUUGAACAUGAUGUUCGUUAUGGA